AGAGUUUGAUCCUGGCUCAGAAUGAACGCUGGCGGCGUGCCUGAUACAUGCAAGUCGAGCGCGAAAGUGGCCUUCGGGCCGCGAGUAGAGCGGCGGACGGGUGAGUAACACGUGGGUAACCUGCCUUGGAGAGGGGAAUAACUUGGGGAAACCCGAGCUAAUGCCGCAUGAGCUCGCCGGACCUUCGGUGCCGGCGAGGAAAGGUGGCCUAUUCUUGAAAGCUGCCGCUCCAAGAGGGGCCCGCGUCCGAUUAGCUAGUUGGUGGGGUAACGGCUCACCAAGGCUACGAUCGGUAGCCGGCCUGAGAGGGUGAUCGGCCACACUGGAACUGAGACACGGUCCAGACCGCUACGGUGGGCAGCAGUACGGGAUAUUGCGCAAUGGGCGAAAGCCUGACGCAGCAACGCCGCGUGAAGGAUGAAGGCCUUCGGGUUGUAAACUUCUGUCAGGCGGGACGAACGAGCGGCGGUGAAUAGCCGCCGUUUCUUGACGGUACCGCCGGAGGAAGCCCCGGCUAACUCCGUGCCAGCAGCCGCGGUAAUACGGAGGGGGCAAGCGUUAUUCGGAAUUAUUGGGCGUAAAGGGCGUGUAGGCGGCUUGAUAAGCCAAAGGUGAAAUCCCUCAGCUCAACUGAGGAACUGCCUUUGGAA
This 650-nucleotide ribosomal RNA is filed under the name uncultured Acidobacteriota bacterium. RNAcentral's name for it is "bacterial SSU rRNA". It matches the Rfam family "Bacterial small subunit ribosomal RNA", at positions 8 to 632 of the family's 1533-position model. Lineage: Bacteria; Pseudomonadati; Acidobacteriota. The record is from RNAcentral.